Molecule: unclassified non-coding RNA, 279 nt
Filed under: plant metagenome
Description: partial contains small subunit ribosomal RNA, internal transcribed spacer 1, and 5.8S ribosomal RNA
Source: RNAcentral
UCUCCGUUGGUGAACCAGCGGAGGGAUCAUUACCAGAGAGUUGCAAAACUACUACUUUGCUGUGAACUAACCUCUAUUCUCCUUCGGCACGCAGCCCCAGGGCGGGGCCGCGGUCUGCUACAACGCAGGCGUCUACCGCAGACACCUCUAUCACUUGUUUUACAGAACGGUUGAGUCUUUCUAAAACGAAUCAAAACUUUCCACAACGGAUCACUUGCUUCUGGCAUCGAAGAAGCACGCAUCAGAACGGCAGACCACACCUCCGAACUCCAGUCACGC